RNAcentral lists this long non-coding RNA (579 nucleotides) under Salmo salar (Atlantic salmon). Its description in RNAcentral is "lncRNA (ENSSSAG00000089171.1)". Lineage: Eukaryota; Metazoa; Chordata; Actinopteri; Salmoniformes; Salmonidae. The record is from RNAcentral.
UUCAGACCCUGCCAGUGUACCAGGUGGACAUUGGGUUUGAUUCAGACCCUGCCAGUGUACCAGGUGGACAUUGGGUUUGAUUCAGACCCUGCCAGUGUACCAGGUGGACAUUGGGUUGAUUCAGACCCUGUCAGUGUUCCAGGUGGACAUUGGGUUUGAUUCAGACCCUGUCAGUGUACCAGGUGGACAUUGGGUUGGAUUCAGACCCUGUCAGUGUACCAGGUGGACAUUGGGUUUGAUUCAGACCCUGUCAGUGUUCCAGGUGGACAUUGGGUUUGAUUCAGACCCUGUCAGUGUACCAGGUGGACAUUGGGUUGGAUUCAGACCCUGUCAGUGUGCCAGGUGGACAUUGGGUUUGAUUCAGACCCUGCCAGUGUACCAGGUGGACAUUGGGUUGGAUUCAGACCCUGUCAGUGUACCAGAUGGACAUUGGGUUUGAUUCAGACCCUGCCAGUGUACCAGGUGGACAUUGGGUUGAUUCAGACCCUGUCAGUGUUCCAGGUGGACAUUGGGUUUGAUUCAGACCCUGUCAGUGUACCAGGUGGACAUUGGGUUGGAUUCAGACCCUGUCAGUGUGCC